GGUCAGUUGCUACUCUUUUUUGUUAAAUUUUUCUGUUGUUUCAAAAUCCACCAUGACACAAGUAAUAAACGGUGCAUUUUAUGAAAGCCGAUACUAGCUUGCAUCUCAUCCUUGUCUUCUUUUCUGUCUUCUCACAUUGAUCACCGUAAUUUGCUUGCUUCAAUGCUUAAAAUCCUAAACAAGCUCGUAUAUUAUUAUUUUCUAAUCCAUUAUAAUAAAGUAAUUAUUAGUGGUAGAAUAGAUUAUCUUCCUUGUUAGACUUUGUAGUGUCAUCUGGUUAGUAAUUUUUCCUAACUCAUAUAGGUGGAUAAGGGAUCAGCAGAA
RNAcentral lists this unclassified non-coding RNA (324 nucleotides) under Hevea brasiliensis (rubber tree). The record is from RNAcentral. Lineage: Eukaryota; Viridiplantae; Streptophyta; Magnoliopsida; Malpighiales; Euphorbiaceae.